GCUUAAGUGAAAUUAAAGACGAGACUAAACGUGUAGUACUGAAGGUAGAGUAAUUUCGGACGGGGGUUCAACUCCCCCCAGCUCCACCA
RNAcentral lists this transfer RNA (89 nucleotides) under Haemophilus influenzae. RNAcentral's name for it is "tRNA-Und (NNN) (tRNA-Und-NNN-1-1, tRNA-Und-NNN-2-1)". It matches the Rfam family "transfer-messenger RNA", at positions 283 to 374 of the family's 374-position model. From Rfam's summary of the family: Bacterial tmRNA, also known as 10Sa RNA or SsrA, is named for its dual tRNA and mRNA-like properties. Its role is to liberate the mRNA from a stalled ribosome. The record is from RNAcentral. Lineage: Bacteria; Pseudomonadati; Pseudomonadota; Gammaproteobacteria; Pasteurellales; Pasteurellaceae. RNAcentral also lists the same sequence under 10 other names.